GCGGCCGAAUGAGCGAUCGUUCAUCCGUCCCGUCUUGAAACACGGACCAAGGAGUCUAACAUGUGCGCGAGUCAAAGGGCUGGCUAAACCCCUAGGA
Molecule: ribosomal RNA, 97 nt
Filed under: Asellus aquaticus
Lineage: Eukaryota; Metazoa; Arthropoda; Malacostraca; Isopoda; Asellidae
Description: partial 28S ribosomal RNA
Source: RNAcentral